AUUGAACGCUGGCGGCAGGCCUAACACAGGCAAGUCGAGCGGAUGAAGGGAGCUUGCUCCUGGAUUCAGCGGCGGACGGGUGAGUAAUGCCUAGGAAUCUGCCUGGUAGUGGGGGAUAACGUCCGGAAACGGGCGCUAAUACCGCAUACGUCCUGAGGGAGAAAGUGGGGGAUCUUCGGACCUCACGCUAUCAGAUGAGCCUAGGUCGGAUUAGCUAGUUGGUGGGGUAAAGGCCUACCAAGGCGACGAUCCGUAACUGGUCUGAGAGGAUGAUCAGUCACACUGGAACUGAGACACGGUCCAGACUCCUACGGGAGGCAGCAGUGGGGAAUAUUGGACAAUGGGCGAAAGCCUGAUCCAGCCAUGCCGCGUGUGUGAAGAAGGUCUUCGGAUUGUAAAGCACUUUAAGUUGGGAGGAAGGGCAGUAAGUUAAUACCUUGCUGUUUUGACGUUACCAACAGAAUAAGCACCGGCUAACUUCGUG
RNAcentral lists this ribosomal RNA (484 nucleotides) under uncultured bacterium. Its description in RNAcentral is "partial 16S ribosomal RNA". It matches the Rfam family "Bacterial small subunit ribosomal RNA", at positions 30 to 507 of the family's 1533-position model. The record is from RNAcentral.